This 714-nucleotide long non-coding RNA is filed under the name Agrilus planipennis (emerald ash borer). RNAcentral describes it as "uncharacterized LOC112906099, transcript variant X1". The record is from RNAcentral. Lineage: Eukaryota; Metazoa; Arthropoda; Insecta; Coleoptera; Buprestidae.
UUGAAAGAAGUUUUGUUCGCGUCUUUCAUAUUCAAUUAACGAGUACUUUUUUUGUAGAAUUAGCUAUAUUUUAUUACGAAAAGCUACCCUGAGUUGUAUUAAUCUCUUUUGAAUUAAUUAAAGCUAUUAAAUUCAUUCAUGUGUGGUUCUACGUGUAAUAUAAAAACUGGUUAUCGCCAUUUUAAGAUUUUACCAUUUUACUUCAUUUUCGGUGCAUUUUUUUAUUUUAAUUCAUGUUAUAUUUCAUUUUGCAGUCAGUUAAGGUGAUAAUACAUCCAUUAUGUAUAUGCAAUGUGCUAAGGAGUAUUCGUCAUUCCUGUCGUCCCUUUUUUGCUCCAGGAUGUAAUGGUAAUGGCCUAAGGAAAGCAGGGAAAUUGCGUUCUUUCUACUGGAAAUACAGACAGAUUAUUGUUGUUGCUGAAAGAAGGAUUUAUGACAAUGAACCAGUGAGAGAAAAUGGAAGUCAAUUUUGAAAUUUGGAUGUUUCUUGGACUUGUUGCUUGAUUUGAUGAUGACGUCUUGACUAUGCAACAUUUUACUUCAAUUAAUUUUCCACCGAUGAAUAAGUACAGCUGGGAACUAGGUCCUACUGAAACAACGAUUGCAAUGGUAUCGUUCUUCAAUUUGGUUUGCCAUUUGGAAACUUGGAAGUUACAUUCUGCAGUUAAUUAAGAUCGACGUUGGAGAAGACAAAGAUGACCCCGUAGUUGAAAU